AUGAGACUUGAAUUACAUGUUUGUGCUGCUUUAUUAUGGCAAAUCCAAAUGAUGGGACCAAUGUUGUGUUCAAUCAUUUUAGCGGUGACAUUGACAACAACUGAACAAACUCCUAAACAGGAUUUUCAGGGACGUUCAAGAGAGCUUAAAGUGGGAAGUGAAGCUGAUAAGCCUUUUGCUGGAACCACUGACAAACCAGCUACGCAGAGACAGGGGACCAAAGAGCAGCUCGCAGCACAGACCUCAGCAGUGACCUUGAAAGUUGAAGCUGAGAAGCAAGACACCCUAACGAAAAUUGAAGGUAUGUGCUGGUGUUCUUGACUACUAAAGAGUUGUCACAGGAGUCUUGUAUGAAUGCAGGACUUACGUCUACAAAUAUGAAAGACGCUGAAUAAUUCAGUUUCAAAUCUUUGGUCCCGUCACAACCUUCUCAACUCCCAGCAGAGACAAAAGGGGUUAAAUGGGCAACACAACAGGCGGCUGGGGGUCUGUGAACAUUACAAAAACCUCUGUAGUUUGCAGCCCAGUUAAUGUUGAGCAGAAGGAUAAACACCUCAAGCUUUGAAAAUCUGCAAAUGCAAAGCACAAUCCUUACUUAGCAUCACAGAAAAUAACAUUAAAUGUUUGAGCUUAAAAUGAACUACAUACUUGGAUAUGUUUCAUAUUUACUGAUAUUAGUCAUUAAA
This 686-nucleotide long non-coding RNA is filed under the name Oreochromis niloticus (Nile tilapia). RNAcentral describes it as "lncRNA (ENSONIG00000034009.1)". The record is from RNAcentral. Lineage: Eukaryota; Metazoa; Chordata; Actinopteri; Cichliformes; Cichlidae.